RNAcentral lists this ribosomal RNA (579 nucleotides) under Triticum aestivum (bread wheat). RNAcentral's name for it is "partial small subunit ribosomal RNA". Lineage: Eukaryota; Viridiplantae; Streptophyta; Magnoliopsida; Poales; Poaceae. The record is from RNAcentral.
AUGGUGGCUGCUCGGCGCUGCUGCACGGGAGGUGCCGGGCGCUGCUGUAGAGUAGACGGAGGAAGGAGGAGAGGUGAAUCGGGGAAGGUACAACCAUGGCGGCGGGGGGAACUGCGAACAACGGCGCCUGGCGCUGCAGCCGCAAUGACCGAAGCUACAUCCGGUGGCGCGCGGAGCUGCAACCGCAGCGACCUGGAGCUGCAACCGUGGCGGCGACCGGGAGCUAUGACGUCGAUGAUGCUGGAACCGACCAGUUUUUUUGCUGGAACGGGCGACAGGAGGUGCUACAACCGUGGCAGCAAAAUGUUGGAACCAACAGCCACGGCCUUCAGCAGAUGGGGAACCGGCUUUUUAAAAAGCUUCAACCAUGUACUGGGAAGCUGCAACCGCAUGCACGAGAGCUGCAAGCCGUCUACACCGGAGCUACAACCGGAGAGGUUGCGAGCACGAGCACUUGGAGUUGUAGCCGACGGCGACGUAUGCUGGACUGGAGAUGAUAAGUGCUUCAACGACGGGAGAUUGAAACCUGCUGCGAGGUCCGGCGAGCGGCAUCAAUGGAGGGGGCGUUGCUGGCCGUGA